This 329-nucleotide unclassified non-coding RNA is filed under the name soil metagenome. RNAcentral describes it as "partial contains 5.8S ribosomal RNA, internal transcribed spacer 2, and large subunit ribosomal RNA". The stretch from base 1 to 120 matches the Rfam family "5.8S ribosomal RNA", at positions 35 to 154 of the family's 154-position model. The record is from RNAcentral.
GAUGAAGAACGCAGCGAAAUGCGAUAAGUAAUGUGAAUUGCAGAAUUCAGUGAAUCAUCGAAUCUUUGAACGCACAUUGCGCCCCUUGGUAUUCCGGGGGGCAUGCCUGUUCGAGCGUCAUUUCAACCCUCAAGCUCUGCUUGGUCUUGGGCCGCGCCGGCGACGGCGGGCCUCAAAAACAGUGGCGGCGCCAUCUGGUUCCUCAGCGUAGUAAUUCUUCUCGCUGUUGGGCCCGGGUGGCCGCUGGCCAGCAACCCCAAAUUUUCUAUGGUUGACCUCGGAUCAGGUAGGGAUACCCGCUGAACUUAAGCAUAUCAAUAAGCGGAGGA